This 406-nucleotide unclassified non-coding RNA is filed under the name soil metagenome. RNAcentral's name for it is "partial contains 5.8S ribosomal RNA, internal transcribed spacer 2, and large subunit ribosomal RNA". The stretch from base 1 to 122 matches the Rfam family "5.8S ribosomal RNA", at positions 35 to 154 of the family's 154-position model. The record is from RNAcentral.
GAUGAAGAACGUAGCGAAAUGCGAUAAGUAAUGCGAAUUGCAGAAUUUCCGUGAGUCAUCGAAUCUUUGAACGCACCUUGCGCCCUUUGGACAUUCCGAAGGGCAUGCCUGUUUGAGUAUCAUGAACACCUCAACUCUCACGGCUUGUCCGUGAUGAGCUUGGACUUUGGGGGUCUUGCCGGCCUGUGGUCGGCUCCUCUCAAAUGGAUCAGCUUGCCAGUGUUUGGUGGCAUCACAGGUGUGAUAACUAUCUGCGCUUGUGGUUUUCCAUCAGAUAACCUUCAGUGAUAUGGAGGUUCGCUGGAGCUCACAAAUGUCUCUCCUUAGUGAGGACAGCUCUUUGAACGUUUGAUCUCAAAUCAGGUAGGACUACCCGCUGAACUUAAGCAUAUCAAUAAGCGGAGGA